CGGGGCGUGGCGUAGUCUGGAAGCGCACCUGAAUGGGGUUCAGGAGGUCGCCGGUUCAAAUCCGGCCGCCCCGACCA
RNAcentral lists this transfer RNA (77 nucleotides) under Chloroflexota bacterium. RNAcentral's name for it is "Chloroflexi bacterium tRNA-Pro". It matches the Rfam family "tRNA". From Rfam's summary of the family: Transfer RNA (tRNA) molecules are approximately 80 nucleotides in length. Lineage: Bacteria; Bacillati; Chloroflexota. The record is from RNAcentral.